RNAcentral lists this transfer RNA (74 nucleotides) under Loxodonta africana (African savanna elephant). It matches the Rfam family "tRNA". From Rfam's summary of the family: Transfer RNA (tRNA) molecules are approximately 80 nucleotides in length. Lineage: Eukaryota; Metazoa; Chordata; Mammalia; Proboscidea; Elephantidae. The record is from Rfam by way of RNAcentral.
CCCUGGGUGGUGUAAAUGGUUAACAUGUUGGGCUGCUAACCGAAAGGUUGGUAGUUCAAGCCCACCCAGAGGGG